This 182-nucleotide ribosomal RNA is filed under the name Stenotrophomonas maltophilia. RNAcentral describes it as "partial 23S ribosomal RNA". It matches the Rfam family "Bacterial large subunit ribosomal RNA", at positions 2756 to 2925 of the family's 2925-position model. The record is from RNAcentral. Lineage: Bacteria; Pseudomonadati; Pseudomonadota; Gammaproteobacteria; Lysobacterales; Lysobacteraceae.
CGGAAGCGAUAACCGCUGAAAGCAUCUAAGCGGGAAGCGCGCCUCAAGAUGAGAUCUCCCGGGGCACAAGCCCCCUGAAGGAACCAUGUAGACUACGUGGUUGAUAGGUCAGGUGUGUAAGUACAGCAAUGUAUUGAGCUAACUGAUACUAAUGAUCCGAGAGGCUUGACCAUAUAACCUCA